Molecule: long non-coding RNA, 590 nt
Organism: Pyrus x bretschneideri (Chinese white pear)
Lineage: Eukaryota; Viridiplantae; Streptophyta; Magnoliopsida; Rosales; Rosaceae
Exons: 3
Source: RefSeq, a predicted model, not a curated record
GCUGACCCUCACUCAUGGCCUCUCAUCAAAACAUAUCAGCGAUUCCUCAGCCCAUAACCUCAGCUCUCUGCAAAGCCCCUCAUCAUUUCUCCUCUGCGACAGCUCACGACUCUUCGUCCUCCAUCCUACCUCCUUAAUGGGUUCCUUGUCGAUGUCAUGAGUAAAGAAGAUAGCACCUGUACACAUUUGUACUCAAAAUUGGUUCAUGUCAAAUAACAUCUCAAUUUUAGACGACGAGACAAUCUUGGAAUAUAUGGAGUUUUAUGAAGCACUUGAAACAGGUAUGAAUAUUUAUUUUUCAUUACUUUGUUUUUGUUUUUUUUCUCUUGUUUUGUUGCAUGCUUCCUUUCUUAUUUUCCAAUGAGUUCUUGAUUUUAAUUUGUUCUAGAAAAAAGGAAUGGUUACACAUCUAGCAUUGGGGAUUCAUAAACUAUUCAGUCCUAACUUAUCACCUUUUACUAGUGAUGGUAUGUAUGUAACUUUAAUUUUUUAGCACUUCCUUACUAAUUUGAGUUGUAAGAUAUAUAAUUUUGAAUUCAACGAAUAAGAUAUAUAAUUAACUGAUACAUGAAGGAGAUCAUAUGGGAUAG